AGCGAACGCUGGCGGCAGGCCUAAUACAUGCAAGUCGAGCGGCCGUAGCAAUACGGCAGCAGCAGACGGGAGAGUAACACGUGGGAACGUACCUUUCGGUUCGGAACAACCCAGGGAAACUUGGGCUAAUACCGGAUACGUCCGUAAGGAGAAAGACUUAUCGACGAAAGAUCGGGCCGCGUCUGAUUAGCUUGUUGGUUAGGUAACGGCUCACCAGGGCGACGAUCAGUAACUGGUCUGAGAGGAUGAUCAGCCUCACUGGGACUGAGACACGGCCCAGAAUCCUACGGGAGGCAGCAGUAGGGAAUAUUGGACAAUGGGCGCAAGCCUGUUCCAGCCAUGCCGCGUGAGUGAUGAAGGCCGUAGGGUUGUAGAGCUCGUUCGGCUGGGAAGAUAAUGACGGUACCCGCAGAAGAAGCCCCGGCUAACUUCGUGCCAGCCGCCGCAGUAA
This 451-nucleotide ribosomal RNA is filed under the name uncultured bacterium. RNAcentral describes it as "partial 16S ribosomal RNA". It matches the Rfam family "Bacterial small subunit ribosomal RNA", at positions 29 to 523 of the family's 1533-position model. The record is from RNAcentral.